GAUGAACGCUGGCGGCGUGCCUAAUACAUGCAAGUCGAGCGAACAGAUGAGGAGCUUGCUCCUCUGACGUUAGCGGCGGACGGGUGAGUAACACAUGGAUAACCUACCUAUAAGACUGGGAUAACUUCGGGAAACCGGAGCUAAUACCGGAUAAUAUAUUGAACCGUAUGGUUCAAUAGUGAAAGACGGUUUUGCUGUCACUUAUAGAUGGAUCCGCGCCGCAUUAGCUAGUUGGUAAGGUAACGGCUUACCAAGGCAACGAUGCGUAGCCGACCUGAGAGGGUGAUCGGCCACACUGGAACUGAGACACGGUCCAGACUCCUACGGGAGGCAGCAGUAGGGAAUCUUCCGCAAUGGGCGAAAGCCUGACGGAGCAACGCCGCGUGAGUGAUGAAGGUCUUCGGAUCGUAAAACUCUGUUAUUAGGGAAGAACAAAUGUGUAAGUAACUAUGCACGUCUUGACGGUACCUAAUCAGAAAGCCACGGCUAACUACGUG
RNAcentral lists this ribosomal RNA (497 nucleotides) under uncultured bacterium. Its description in RNAcentral is "partial 16S ribosomal RNA". It matches the Rfam family "Bacterial small subunit ribosomal RNA", at positions 28 to 507 of the family's 1533-position model. The record is from RNAcentral.